Sorex araneus (European shrew) is the source of this 129-nucleotide small nucleolar RNA. RefSeq annotates it as small nucleolar RNA SNORA33. NCBI's taxonomy places the organism in Eukaryota, Metazoa, Chordata, Mammalia, Eulipotyphla, Soricidae. The record is from RefSeq and is a predicted model, not a curated record. The transcript has a single exon.
AAGACAAGAAAUAAAUCUUACUUGAAUGUGUUGCCAGAAAUUUAGAAAUAGCUGGCAAUAAAUAGUAAAGCCAUGCUAUGAGCCUUAAUGGCAUUGAGAUUGUUAAGGUCCCUGAGAGUGACUACCAAA